RNAcentral lists this ribosomal RNA (694 nucleotides) under uncultured bacterium. RNAcentral describes it as "bacterial SSU rRNA". It matches the Rfam family "Bacterial small subunit ribosomal RNA", at positions 32 to 715 of the family's 1533-position model. The record is from RNAcentral.
AACGCUAGCUACAGGCUUAACACAUGCAAGUCGAGGGGCAGCAUGGUCUUAGCUUGCUAAGGCCGAUGGCGACCGGCGCACGGGUGAGUAACACGUAUCCAACCUGCCGUCUACUCUUGGACAGCCUUCUGAAAGGAAGAUUAAUACAAGAUGGCAUCAUGAGUUCACAUGUUCACAUGAUUAAAGGUAUUCCGGUAGACGAUGGGGAUGCGUUCCAUUAGAUAGUAGGCGGGGUAACGGCCCACCUAGUCUUCGAUGGAUAGGGGUUCUGAGAGGAAGGUCCCCCACAUUGGAACUGAGACACGGUCCAAACUCCUACGGGAGGCAGCAGUGAGGAAUAUUGGUCAAUGGGCGCAGGCCUGAACCAGCCAAGUAGCGUGAAGGAUGACUGCCCUAUGGGUUGUAAACUUCUUUUAUAAAGGAAUAAAGUCGGGUAUGUAUACCCGUUUGCAUGUACUUUAUGAAUAAGGAUCGGCUAACUCCGUGCCAGCAGCCGCGGUAAUACGGAGGAUCCGAGCGUUAUUCGGAUUUAUUGGGUUUAAAGGGAGCGUAGAUGGAUGUUUAAGUCAGUUGUGAAAGUUUGCGGCUCAACCGUAAAAUUGCAGUUGAUACUGGAUAUCUUGAGUGCAGUUGAGGCAGGCGGAAUUCGUGGUGUAGCGGUGAAAUGCUUAGAUAUCACGAAGAACUCCGAUUG